Long non-coding RNA from Syngnathus typhle (broad-nosed pipefish), 730 nucleotides. RefSeq lists it as uncharacterized. NCBI's taxonomy places the organism in Eukaryota, Metazoa, Chordata, Actinopteri, Syngnathiformes, Syngnathidae. The transcript has 3 exons. The record is from RefSeq and is a predicted model, not a curated record.
AGCUGUGAGCUCUAAAUCCACGCAGAUCUUUUGCAAGAUUCAUGUGCAGGGGCGUCAAGGGGGAAUCAGUAUUCCGGAGGACGAGGAGAAAUGGGUCGUCAAGAGAGACACGCUCGGUUUUAUUGCCGAGGCUUCUAAAAAGCAAUCAUCUCUCUGGAGGAAUUGAUAUCAGCAUGGGCCAAAUGGCGUCUCUUUCUUUGACAUUUUGUCACAAGUUUGAUGCAACAGCCAUUUCCAAGUUCCCCACCAGGCACAGCAUUGCUGUUUCCCCACAAGGAUUAAGGCAGUUGCGGUCAAAAUCCAUCUCAAUUCCCUGCCACUACUCAGCCUAGUGCAAGACAUGAUGAUGAUGAUGAUGAUGAUGACACUGGCUAUUUUGUACGGCGGGGCAAAUGAGGUUAUGCCCCAUUAUAUCGAGCAGAUGACACAGGUGAGGAAUAAACUACCUUAUCCUUAAACAGAUUUUUUGUAUCUGCAUUUAAUGGGCUAAAAUUCACAUUUUCCACCUUUUCUCAACAUUUUAUGGAUAACGGUUGUGUAUUUCUACUCCGGUAUCUCUUGGGAAAGCUCCAGACUAACCUAUACAUCUCAAUGUUGCUGUUGUGUGUUUAGUGUGAGUCAGUCUUAAAACAUAUUCUUCCUAGCAACAAGUGAUCAUGCCAAUUUGCGCAAAACAUUUUUCUGGGUUGUAGCUUAACUGUAAGUAGCCAAAUUUGAAUCAUAGACCGAU